RNA transcript from Pseudopipra pipra, 2659 nucleotides. It is a transcript of the gene named nibrin, with no coding region annotated. NCBI's taxonomy places the organism in Eukaryota, Metazoa, Chordata, Aves, Passeriformes, Pipridae. The transcript has 17 exons. The record is from RefSeq and is a predicted model, not a curated record.
CCCCCCGCCCCGCCCUCGGCCCGGCCCCGCGCGCGGGGUCGCGGCGGCGCGUGGGGCUCUCCUUCCCCGGCCCGGCCUCGUCCCGGCUCGCCGGAGAGCUCCAGGAUGUGGAAGCUGGUGCCCGCCUCAGGAAAAGGAGAGCCAUAUCGGCUUUUAAGUGGUACAGAAUAUGUUGUUGGACGGAAAAACUGUGCAAUUUUAAUUCAGGAUGAUCAGUCCAUCAGUCGAAGUCAUGCAGUUCUGACAGUAAGUCGUCCUGAAACAAGCCCUAGUCAAUCUCUCUCAGUUCCUAUAUUAACAGUAAAAGAUACAUCUAAGUAUGGUACCUUUGUUAAUGGAUCAAAACUCAAUGGCACUUCAGUGUCUUUGCAAUCUGGUGACAGAAUCAACUUUGGAGUAUUUGAGAGCAAGUUUAGAGUGGAGUAUGAACCUUUGGUUGUCUGCUCCUCAUGUUUAGAUGUAGCUCAGAAAACUGCUUUAAAUCAAGCCAUUCAGCAGCUUGGAGGCCUUGUAGUGAAUGAAUGGACAAAAGAGUGUACCCACCUUGUCAUGGUAUCAGUAAAAGUUACUGUUAAGACUAUAUGUGCUUUGAUUUGUGCUCGACCAAUUAUAAAACCAGAGUUUUUUGUUGAAUCAAUCAGAGCUAUUCAGUCCAGGCAACAGUUGCCAAAUCAUGAAAGCUUUUAUCCUCCAGUUGAUGAGCCUUCCAUUGGCACUGAAAAACUGGAUUUAUCUGAGCAUCAUGAAAGGAAAACAAUAUUCAGUGGAAAAACUUUUGUAUUUCUAUCUGCUAAGCAGCACAAGAAACUGGGUCCAGCAAUUAUUCUUGGAGGAGGAGAAAUAAAGUUGAUGACAGAAGGAAGAAAAGAAACGCCUUUACUGAUUUCUCCUGAAGUUUGUGUUGUUGAUGUGGGCUUGACAAACUCUCAGAUUGCAGGAUCUGACUCUAUGAGAAACUGGACUGAUUCCAUUCUGACUGUCUUGCAAAGCAAGAAUCUCAGGGCUAUUCCAGAGGCAGAAAUUGGAUUGGCAGUUAUCUUCAUGUCUACAGAAAAAUACUGCAACCCUCAAAAGCAGGCUGGUACCAACAAAGCUGUAACUGAAAGUACUCCUGCAUCAGCUGUUGUGGGCCGAACCAUUUCUCAGAGUUUGGCUGUGGAUGAAACCAUAAUGCCAGCUGCUGCAGAUAGCAGCACAUUGUACAUAGCUGAUACAGAAGAGCAGACAUGUAUGGAGGUAGAGAAUACUCCCCAGAUGGAUAAACAACGGAAAAUGGCUUUCCAGGAUACAACCACCGUAAAGAAAAACACUAGGACAAGUGGCAGUGUAAAUGCAGGAACAGCCCCAUUUAGAGGGAACAGAACAUCUGGGUUGAGUCAAAAAAGUCAGCCUGUCUCACCAUCUAAAAUUUCAGAAGCUGGUAAACCCAGCGAGUGUGCUUCACGUCACCAGUCCAACUCAAUUACAAAUUACUUCCAGGUAGCUAGAAAGAGGGAAAGAGCUGAAGAAGAAGAGGAAACACCUGUACCCAAACUAGCAAAACUGGAGGAAAGGUCAUCGCCUCUUUCCAAGUGCACUGAACCCACAACUUCAUCGAUCUGGAACAGUGAAGCAAAACAGCAUCAGAAGAAAAAUAGCAUCCUGGACCCAAACCCAAAUUUUGCAUUAGAAGACAUGGGUAUAAAGCUUAUGAGGGAAAGUGUCAAAGUAACAAGUGAUAAAACAGACACUAAAACCACUUCGAGUGAAAGUCAUGCACCACAGAAGAGAAAAGAGUUAGAUGAUUUAUCUGAAGAUACAGAAGCGCUGGAAAUUGUGUUUGGAAGUGGAGACCUAGACUGGGAAGAUCAAGUGGCAGAUCAUGACCAGGAAGCUCAAGGAAAUACACGAAAAAAAAGAUGUUUGGAAGCCAAAGGAAACAGGAUUCAAGAAGUAAAUGUAAAUCAGAGACAGGAGAAUAAAAUAUUGAAAGAAGAGGAACUUGGAGCAGUUGUAACUUCAGAAAUGAAAUGUAAGAUCAAGCAAGAGUCACCAGUCUUGAACUGCAGCAAACUGCAAGAUGACUCCAGCAGUCUUCCUAGCAGGCUUCUGUUGACUGAGUUCAGAUCACUGAUUGUCAGCCGUCCAAGACAGAACAGUUGCCUUACUGGAAAUACCAGCUAUGGGGGGAAGAAAAAUUUCAAAACGUUCAAAAAGGUAGCUUAUCCAGGGGCAGGACAACUUCCAUACAUUAUUGGAGGAUCAGAUUUGAUUGCUCACCAUGCUAAAAGGAAUUCAGAGCUAGAAGAGUGGUUAAGGCAAGAAAUGGAGGAACAGAACCGACAGGCAAGAGAAGAAUCACUUGCUGAUGAUCUCUUUAGGCCAUAGGCACUGUACAAUUUCAGAUAAUGUUGUUUGAUGUCUUUCCCUCCGGAAAACAAAUACCAUCCAGGCUUCAUUUAACAUGGAAAAUGGCUGGAGAUAUGAUCCUAAUGUGAAAAGGAGAAGAUAAAUUGUGACCUGGAUUUACAGUGUUUCUCUAGCAAAACCUGCUUUUCUGUUCCUUAUGUUUCUUGUGUUACAGUGUGUAUGAUGUUCCUACAUAUGACCAUUUGAACUAUCUAUUAUUGUAAGACUUGUUUUUUAAGUCUUGCUUUUAUUAAAGAAAAAGAAAAAUUUC